Molecule: ribosomal RNA, 509 nt
Filed under: uncultured bacterium
Lineage: Bacteria
Description: bacterial SSU rRNA
Rfam family: Bacterial small subunit ribosomal RNA
Source: RNAcentral
CGGAUUAGGCAUGCAAGUCGAACGUGAAAGUUCCCUUCGGGGAGCGAGUAAAGUGGCGAACGGGUGAGUAACGCGUGGGAAACCUUCCCUUCGUUGGGGGAUAACAGUUCUAACGAGCUGCUAAUACCGCAUACGACCUUUGGACCGCAUGGCCUGGAGGUGAAAGGGGGCGCCCUCUUCGGAGAGCUCCCGACGAUGGAUGGUCCCGCGUCCCAUUAGCUAGUUGGCGGGGUAAUGGCCCACCAAGGCGACGAUGGGUAGCCGGCCUGAGAGGGUGUCCGGCCACACUGGGACUGAGAUACGGCCCAGACUCCUACGGGAGGCAGCAGUCGAGAAGCUUCGGCAAUGGGCGAAAGCCUGACCGAGCGACGCCGCGUGAGCGAAGAAGGCCCUAUGGGUUGUAAAGCUCUGUCAGAUUGGGAAGAAAACCUCGUGGUUAAUACCUGCGAGGCUUGACGGUACCAUCAGAGGAAGCACCGGCUAACCCCGUGCCAGCAGCCGCGGUAAUA